Non-coding RNA from Coffea arabica (coffee), 367 nucleotides. The record is from RefSeq and is a predicted model, not a curated record. Lineage: Eukaryota; Viridiplantae; Streptophyta; Magnoliopsida; Gentianales; Rubiaceae.
CAGAAAAAACAGAAGAAAAAGCAAAAGGAUUGGAAGAAGAAGCAAUGAAAGUGGAACUGGAAACCAGGCAUGAGCUGAAGCCCUGGGAGCAGCACUCUGUUGUGAUCAGUGAUCACCAUUCCUCGUUUUGACUACAACGCCUCUUCUUUUCUCCUCAGUCAUUCCCACUCCGGAUUCCUCAUCACCUGCCCCAUCAAGAGGGAGGAAGAGUGCAACAAAAGAAGCCAUGUCAAUUCUUGAAAAGUUGCAAGUAUAGAAGACUUUUAUAUCCUGAUUGCUGAUUGAAACCUGAAGAAUUCCAUGACAACAGAAAUAUCUGCGACCAAUCGAACUAUUGACUUUUAAAGAUGAGAAUCCCUCUGAAUCC